GCUUGUGUAGCUUAAAACAAAGCACGACACUGAAGAUGUCGAGAUGGACCUUGAAAAGUCCCGUGAGCA
Molecule: transfer RNA, 69 nt
Filed under: Konosirus punctatus (Konoshiro gizzard shad)
Lineage: Eukaryota; Metazoa; Chordata; Actinopteri; Clupeiformes; Clupeidae
Description: tRNA-Phe
Rfam family: tRNA
About the family: Transfer RNA (tRNA) molecules are approximately 80 nucleotides in length. Their secondary structure includes four short double-helical elements and three loops (D, anti-codon, and T loops). Further hydrogen bonds mediate the characteristic L-shaped molecular structure. tRNAs have two regions of fundamental functional importance: the anti-codon, which is responsible for specific mRNA codon recognition, and the 3' end, to which the tRNAs corresponding amino acid is attached (by aminoacyl-tRNA synthetases). tRNAs cope with the degeneracy of the genetic code in two manners: having more than one tRNA (with a specific anti-codon) for a particular amino acid; and 'wobble' base-pairing, i.e. permitting non-standard base-pairing at the 3rd anti-codon position.
Source: RNAcentral